GCCAGGUGUGGUGGCACGCACCUGUAAUCCCAGCUUCUUUGGAGGCUGAGGCAGGAGAAUUGCUUGAACCCAGGGGACACAGGUUGCAGUGAGCCUAGAUCACGCCACUGCACUCCAGCCUGGGUGACAGAGCAAGACUCCGUCUCUA
Macaca fascicularis (crab-eating macaque) is the source of this 148-nucleotide unclassified non-coding RNA. It matches the Rfam family "Metazoan signal recognition particle RNA". From Rfam's summary of the family: The signal recognition particle (SRP) is a universally conserved ribonucleoprotein. It is involved in the co-translational targeting of proteins to membranes. NCBI's taxonomy places the organism in Eukaryota, Metazoa, Chordata, Mammalia, Primates, Cercopithecidae. The record is from Ensembl.